This is an unclassified non-coding RNA of Macaca fascicularis (crab-eating macaque), 148 nucleotides long. It matches the Rfam family "Metazoan signal recognition particle RNA". From Rfam's summary of the family: The signal recognition particle (SRP) is a universally conserved ribonucleoprotein. NCBI's taxonomy places the organism in Eukaryota, Metazoa, Chordata, Mammalia, Primates, Cercopithecidae. The record is from Ensembl.
GCCGGGUAUGGUGGUGCGCACCUGUAGUCCCAACUACUUUGGAGGCUGAGGCAAGAGGAUUGCUUGAGUCCAGGAGGUCGAGGCUUCAGUGAGCUAUUAUUGUGCCACUGCAUUCCAGCCUGGGCAACAGAACAAGACUCUGUCUCUU